Molecule: transfer RNA, 95 nt
Filed under: Microbispora rosea subsp. rosea
Lineage: Bacteria; Bacillati; Actinomycetota; Actinomycetes; Streptosporangiales; Streptosporangiaceae
Description: tRNA-Met
Source: RNAcentral
GAACGCCGUGGACACCGGGAACGCCGCGUCCGCACAUGGCCGGCCCGCCCGGGGAUCCCCGGGCGGGCGGCGGAUCGGCCCCGCCGACGUUCACC